AGUGAACGCUGGCGGUAGGCCUAACACAUGCAAGUCGAACGGCAGCACAGUAAGAGCUUGCUCUUACGGGUGGCGGGUGGCGGACGGGAGAGGAAUACAUCGGAAUCUACUUUUUCGUGGGGGAUAACGUAGGGAAACUUACGCUAAUACAGCAUACGACCUACGGGUGAAAGCAGGGGAUCUUCGGACCUUGCGCGAUUAAAUGAGCCGAUGUCGGAUUAGCUAGUUGGCGGGGUAAAGGCCCACCAAGGCGACGAUCCGUAGCUGGUCUGAGAGGAUGAUCAGCCACACUGGAACUGAGACACGGUCCAGACGCCUACGGGAGGCAGCAGUGGGGAAUAUUGGACAAUGGUCGCAAGCCUGAUCCAGCCAUACCGCGUGGGUGAAGAAGGCGUUCGGGUUGUAAAGCCCUUUUGUUGGGAAAGAAAAGCAGCAGGUUAAUACCCCGCGGUUCUGACGGUACCCAAAGAAUAAGCACCGGCUAACUUCGUG
Molecule: ribosomal RNA, 492 nt
Filed under: uncultured bacterium
Lineage: Bacteria
Description: partial 16S ribosomal RNA
Rfam family: Bacterial small subunit ribosomal RNA
Source: RNAcentral